AUAAAUGGGCAAAGUCCGAACGAACUUCCGUUAAUUGAUUAUGACGUGCUGCACUGUAUGAGAUUUUAACACGAAGUGAGUGGCGGACGGGUGAGUAACACGUGGGUAACCUGCCCAGAAGCAGGGGAUAACACCUGGAAACAGAUGCUAAUACCGUAUAACAGAGAAAACCGCCUGGUUUUCUUUUAAAAGAUGGCUCUGCUAUCACUUCUGGAUGGACCCGCGGCGCAUUAGCUAGUUGGUGAGGUAACGGCUCACCAAGGCGAUGAUGCGUAGCCGACCUGAGAGGGUAAUCGGCCACAUUGGGACUGAGACACGGCCCAGACUCCUACGGGAGGCAGCAGUAGGGAAUCUUCCACAAUGGACGCAAGUCUGAUGGAGCAACGCCGCGUGAGUGAGAAGGGUUUCGGCUCGUAAAGCUCUGUUGUUAAAGAAGAACGUGGGUGAGAGUAACUGUUCACCCAGUGACGGUAUUUAACCAGAAAGCCACGGCUAACUACGUGCCAGCAGCCGCGGUAAUACGUAGGUGGCAAGCGUUAUCCGGAUUUAUUGGGCGUAAAGCGAGCGCAGGCGGUCUUUUAAGUCUAAUGUGAAAGCCUUCGGCUCAACGGAAGAAGUGCAUUGGAAACUGGGAGACUUGAGUGCAGAAGAGGACAGUGGAACUCCAUGUGUAGCGGUGAAAUGCGUAGAUAUAUGGAAGAACACCAGUGGCGAAGGCGGCUGUCUGGUCUGUAACUGACGCUGAGGCUCGAAAGCAUGGGUAGCGAACAGGAUUAGAUACCCUGGUAGUCCAU
This 794-nucleotide ribosomal RNA is filed under the name Pediococcus acidilactici. RNAcentral describes it as "bacterial SSU rRNA". It matches the Rfam family "Bacterial small subunit ribosomal RNA", at positions 1 to 798 of the family's 1533-position model. Lineage: Bacteria; Bacillati; Bacillota; Bacilli; Lactobacillales; Lactobacillaceae. The record is from RNAcentral.